RNAcentral lists this long non-coding RNA (1530 nucleotides) under Canis lupus familiaris (dog). RNAcentral's name for it is "lncRNA (ENSCAFG00000055134.1)". Lineage: Eukaryota; Metazoa; Chordata; Mammalia; Carnivora; Canidae. The record is from RNAcentral.
AUGCUGCUCGUAGGCGCUGCCCACCUGGAUGAAGUCUCCGCGGAAGGCCAGGGCCAGCGCCCCGCCGGGGAUGGGGCCCGGGGACCCCCGGGCGCGGCCGGCGCGCACCAGCUCGCCCACGAUUCGGCUCACGUGCGCCUUGCUGUGGCCCAGCACGUGCGGGGACAGGCGCACCUCGUGCUCGUAGUAGCUCUCCAGCAAGAUGCCCAGGCUCGGCUCUCGGAAGUGCCUCGGCGAGAAGGUGGAGUGGCUCCCCAGGCGAGGAGCCCCUGGCAGGAAGCGCUGCCGGACGGCGUGGCGACAGCGCAGGAGGACGUAGCCGAGGAGGAGCAGCACGGCCACCUUGAGCAGCGGGAAGCCGCCGUCCGCGCCGUCGGGGGGCUGCGCGCGGGCGCCCCCGCUUCCCCGGAGGGCAUGGUACAGGCACACCAGGGCCGUGCAGAGGCCGGUCACCAGGGGCCAGAAGACGCGCAGGUUGAGGGUGUAGUGCACCGACAUCGCGGGCGCGCGGGGCAGCGGCGUCCGUGCGGCCCGGGCCGCGAGCCCCGGCGGCGCCCCCGGCCCAGCAUGCGGGCAGCGCCCCGGCGGCCCCGCGGCCCCGGUCUCCGUCGCCUCCGCGGCGGCCGCCCCCUCGCACGGCCGGGGGAAGGCGCCCUCCAGCGCGGCCUCCUCUCCCAGCCCAGGCGUCCCCCGCAGCCGCGCGCGGCCCGCCCUGCGCUCCCGGGCCCCGGGCCGCGCCCUGCGCCGGCGGCGCGCUCCGUCCCGCGCGGCGGCCCUCGGCGCCCGGCUCCCCGCCCCGCCCGGCCCGGCCCGGCCCGCCUCCUACCCCGGCCGGCGCUCCGGGGCUCCCCGGCGCGCUCUCCCCGCUGCUCGGCCCCCGGAGCCCCCUCUUCCGAGGGGAGGCGAGGCCGCGCCAGCGAGCGGGGAGGAAAUGCCGGAGUCUGGCGGCGCGCGCCGAGCCGCCGGGCGGCGGGGCCCCCUCCCCGGCCUCCGCCUUACAGCGACGCGGGGCGGCGGGAGGGACUUCAGGGCGCGCUCGGAACUGGCUCCUCGCGGGCCGCCCCUCUCCCCUCCUCCCCGAGGGCAGGCCUCGGAAGGCCCCGAUUCCGGGGCGGUGGCCGCGCCCGGGGAGUCCUGCUCGCAGAAAGUUACGCUGGGAAGUUGAAAAGGAAGAGGAGAGGAGCUCGCCCCAGGGCGUCCCUCCCCGCCCCCGCCCCCGCCCCCGCCCCUGCCCCUGCCCCCGCCCCCGCCCAGCGGGUCGUGGCGUUGGUGGCGUGGCAGGCGCGGCGCCGGGCCCUCGUCCACGCCCCGGAUUGCCUAAGCACCUACUACGUGCCAGGCUGGGAGCUGGGGGCGCAGCAGCCCACGGGGUCAGCCGAGGUCUCUGCCUUGGGAGAGCCUCCAGCCUUUCUGAAAAAGGAAACCAAAAGAGAAAGGAUCCAAUGCUCCGCAAGAAACGAUGAUGCUGUGCUGGGCGGCGAGAAGGCUGAGAAGUGGGGGCUGCCCCCCUGGAAGCCCGAGGCUCCCUGA